Molecule: long non-coding RNA, 1107 nt
Filed under: Suricata suricatta (meerkat)
Lineage: Eukaryota; Metazoa; Chordata; Mammalia; Carnivora; Herpestidae
Description: lncRNA (ENSSSUG00005006137.1)
Source: RNAcentral
AUGGUACGGUUCUGCGGGGCCCUGAAGGAUCUGGGGGUGAGGGGCAGUCAGCUCCGAGAACUGCAUUACAAAGGGAACGAGACCGGACGGCAGCAACCGACUUGGACCUCGGCCUUCCGUACAAGGUGCUGGGCCCGGAGCACUCGGGAUGGGGGAGGGGGCACGCUGCGCGGUGGCCCCGGGGUGACGGGGAGACGCAGGGCGACCGCUUCCCCCAACCUCAGGGGCCAAUACGCGCACCCAAACGGGUCCCCCGAGGAGCAAAGGCGUCCCUGUGGGCUGUGGGGGCAGGCUCUUGGGGGCAACCCCAGGGCUGACCUGAGGCAAGGGCAGCCAGUCCUCCCGGCGGAGACUCGGGUCGGGGCCAGGAAAAGACCUGAGCCCUGGGAGCUUGGAGAAGGAGUCCUCCAACCUAUCCUGACGGGGAGCGGGCCAGGGGCGAGGGGGUCAGGCCAAGCCGGAACGAGACACGGACCGGGUAGGUCAAGGGGGGGGGUGUCCGGCUGGGGCAGUUACAAGCACGGGAGCCGGCGAGGCUCAGCAGCCCGCUUCCCGUCUCGGGUCAUCCUUCUGCCAGCGGCUGCUCCGACUGCUUCAGGCCCAGCCGCCCCGUCCACUGCCGCCACCAACGCCGCCGCCAUCUUACACUGGCCAGCGGCCGCCACCACCACCGCCUCCGCUCUCGGCGCCUGCGCCUGCGCCGCCACGCUUUCCGGCCCCGUUUGCGACGCGGUGCUGGAGGAGACUGGAGGGAAAGUGGUCGCGCGAGCUCUCGGGUCCCAGCCCUCCUCGGAGGACGCACAAGGGGCGGGGCUUAGGGCCGACGGAAAACAGAGCGAGGGGCGCGUGCGCAGUCCCGGGAGGCGAAGCUGUUUUCGCGGCGGGCUUGGAGGGGCUCGCUCCCCUCGCCCCGCUCCGCACGAACGCGGGCCGGGGGCUCCCCAGGGUCGUGGCCGUGGGGUGGAACUAAAUUUCAUUUCUAGCGGACUGGAGGGAAACCUCGUGGGCGGCCUCCAUUUCCGCCCUGGUUUUGAAUCCUGGGAACAAGCGGUUCUUGCCAGGUUCCCUGUGGAAACCCCAUUUCCUUUGAGGACUUUGUUUUCUUAA